This 234-nucleotide long non-coding RNA is filed under the name Elaeis guineensis (African oil palm). RNAcentral describes it as "long non-coding RNA (EGUI_LNC068182)". Lineage: Eukaryota; Viridiplantae; Streptophyta; Magnoliopsida; Arecales; Arecaceae. The record is from RNAcentral.
GCCGCUUGGUGAAAUUAUAUUUUGAUCAAAUCACUUGACUAUUCGAGCUGACCCAUGUCAGCUAGGUAAAUCAGUGUGACUGAUUUAGAUGCUCCUAGACCAGCCCUUUUGAUGGUCUCCCUUAAGCUGACUUGGUGAAGCCAGUGGGAGGAUCAUGAUAAGCUAGUUCAUCUGACCUCCUCCUCUAAAUCAAUUAAAUCCUCUAAAAUUAUUAGGUUCUUAAAAUAAAAUAGU